Molecule: long non-coding RNA, 208 nt
Organism: Perca fluviatilis (European perch)
Lineage: Eukaryota; Metazoa; Chordata; Actinopteri; Perciformes; Percidae
Exons: 3
Source: RefSeq, a predicted model, not a curated record
CCUGCUGCAAUCUACUCUGGAGUGAGAAGAGAAGACGCCUGUAACGGACAAAUAGUGAUCAAAGACAAGAAAUCAAACAGGAAGAAAGAGAGUGAUCCUGCUGCAAUCUACUCCAGAGUGAGAACAACAGAUGUCAGUUACGGAUAAAUAGCGAUCAAAGAGAAGAAGACAAAAGGAAGAGAGAGUCUCCAGCAGAUCCAGAGGAACC